AUUGAACGCUGGCGGCAUGCUUUACACAUGCAAGUCGAACGGUAGAGGGGGCAACCCCUUGAGAGUGGCGAACGGGUGAGUAAUAUAUCGGAACGUGCCCAGUCGUGGGGAUAACGUAGCGAAAGUUACGCUAAUACCGCAUACGAUCUACGGAUGAAAGCGGGGGGACUCGCAAGAGCCUCGCGCGAUUGGAGCGGCCGAUAUCAGAUUAGGUAGUUGGUGGGGUAAAGGCUCACCAAGCCAACGAUCUGUAGCUGGUCUGAGAGGACGACCAGCCACACUGGGACUGAGACACGGCCCAGACUCCUACGGGAGGCAGCAGUGGGAAUAUGGACAAUGGCGGAAAGACCUGAUCCAGCAAUAG
Molecule: ribosomal RNA, 364 nt
Filed under: uncultured bacterium
Lineage: Bacteria
Description: bacterial SSU rRNA
Rfam family: Bacterial small subunit ribosomal RNA
Source: RNAcentral